GACGAACGCUGGCGGCGUGCCUAAUACAUGCAAGUCGAACGCUUCUUUCCUCCCAAGUGCUUGCACUCAAUUGGAAAGAGGAGUGGCGGACGGGUGAGUAACACGUGGGUAACCUACCCAUCAGAGGGGGAUAACACUUGGAAACAGGUGCUAAUACCGCAUAACAGUUUAUGCCGCAUGGCAUAAGAGUGAAAGGCGCUUUCGGGUGUCGCUGAUGGAUGGACCCGCGGUGCAUUAGCUAGUUGGUGAGGUAACGGCUCACCAAGGCCACGAUGCAUAGCCGACCUGAGAGGGUGAUCGGCCACACUGGGACUGAGACUCGGCCCAGACUCCUACGGGAGGCAGCAGUAGGGAAUCUUCGGCAAUGGACGAAAGUCUGACCGAGCAACGCCGCGUGAGUGAAGAAGGUUUUCGGAUCGUAAAACUCUGUUGUUAGAGAAGAACAAGGACGUUAGUAACUGAACGUCCCCUGACGGUAUCUAACCAGAAAGCCACGGCUAACUACG
RNAcentral lists this ribosomal RNA (506 nucleotides) under uncultured bacterium. RNAcentral's name for it is "partial 16S ribosomal RNA". It matches the Rfam family "Bacterial small subunit ribosomal RNA", at positions 28 to 505 of the family's 1533-position model. The record is from RNAcentral.